AGAGUUUGAUCCUGGCUCAGGAUGAACGCUAGCGGCAGGCUUAACACAUGCAAGUCGAGGGGUAACAGAUCUAGCAAUAGAUGCUGACGACCGGCGCACGGGUGAGUAUCGCGUUUGCAAUCUACCUCUAACUGGGGGAUAGCCCGGAGAAAUUCGGAUUAAUACCUCAUAUUAUCAUAAGAAGGCAUCUUUUUAUGAUUAAAGCUCAGGCGGUUAGAGAUGAGCAUGCGUACCAUUAGCUAGUUGGUGAGGUAAUGGCUCACCAAGGCUACGAUGGUUAGGGGGUCUGAGAGGAUGAUCCCCCACACUGGUACUGAGACACGGACCAGACUCCUACGGGAGGCAGCAGUGAGGAAUAUUGGGCAAUGGGCGCAAGCCUGACCCAGCCAUGCCGCGUGCAGGAUGACGGCGCUAUGCGUUGUAAACUGCUUUUGUUUAGGAAGAAAUCCAUCUACGUGUAGGUGGUUGACGGUACUGAAUGAAUAAGCAUCGGCUAACUCCGUGCCAGCAGCCGCGGUAAUACGGAGGAUGCAAGCGUUAUCCGGAUUCAUUGGGUUUAAAGGGUGCGUAGGCGGAGUACUAAGUCCGCGAUGAAAUCCUGCAGCUUAACUGUAGAACUGUCAUUGAUACUGGUAUUCUUGAAUGCAGUUGAGGUAGGUGGAAUGUGUAAUGUAGCGGUGAAAUGCUUAGAUAUUACACAGAACACCGAUUGCGAAGGCAGCUUACUAAACUGUGAUUGACGCUGAGGCACGAAAGCGUGGGGAGUAAACAGGAUUAGAUACCCUGGUAGUCC
This 793-nucleotide ribosomal RNA is filed under the name uncultured bacterium. RNAcentral describes it as "bacterial SSU rRNA". It matches the Rfam family "Bacterial small subunit ribosomal RNA", at positions 8 to 796 of the family's 1533-position model. The record is from RNAcentral.